This 336-nucleotide ribosomal RNA is filed under the name Staphylococcus ureilyticus. Its description in RNAcentral is "partial 23S ribosomal RNA". It matches the Rfam family "Bacterial large subunit ribosomal RNA", at positions 1 to 336 of the family's 2925-position model. Lineage: Bacteria; Bacillati; Bacillota; Bacilli; Caryophanales; Staphylococcaceae. The record is from RNAcentral.
GAUUAAGUUAUUAAGGGCGCACGGUGGAUGCCUUGGCACUAGAAGCCGAUGAAGGACGUUACUAACGACGAUAUGCUUUGGGGAGCUGUAAGUAAGCUGUGAUCCAGAGAUUUCCGAAUGGGGGAACCCAAUACGAGUUAUGUCGUAUUAUCGAUACGUAAAUACAUAGCGUAUCGAAGGUAGACGCGGAGAACUGAAACAUCUUAGUACCCGCAGGAAGAGAAAGAAAAAUCGAUUCCCUGAGUAGCGGCGAGCGAAACGGGAAGAGCCCAAACCAACGAGCUUGCUUGUUGGGGUUGUAGGACACUCUAUACGGAGUUACAAAGGAAUAGAUUA